Molecule: long non-coding RNA, 7073 nt
Organism: Schistocerca cancellata (South American locust)
Lineage: Eukaryota; Metazoa; Arthropoda; Insecta; Orthoptera; Acrididae
Exons: 3
Source: RefSeq, a predicted model, not a curated record
AGGUUAGUUAGGUUUAAGUAGAUCUAAGUUCUAGGGGACUGAUGACCACAGAUGUUAAGUCCCAUUGUGCUCAGAGCCAUUUUGAGCAAUCACAUGCACUCCCAGGGUGUGUAACCCAUUCUCAGAUCUGCCUUGGCCUCUCCUGUGGACUAAAAGACUCUAUAGACCCUGUGGUUUCUCACAACCUGUUCCUGGAUGUCCUCAGUGCAUUUCCAGGCUCAGACAUGGUGUAUGCUAAUGGUUCUAAAGUCAGUGGGUGAACCAGGUUUGCCUACGCAUAUGCAAGGUGCAAUGAACUACACCUGAUGCUGAGUGGAUGCAGUGUACUGACUGUGGAAUUGGUAACCAUUGCUCGAGGCCUGAACCACAUUCAUUCUUGCACUGGCAAGCCGUUCUUAAUCAGCAGUGACUCUGUGAGUAGUCUUCAGGCUGUCGACCAGUGCUACCCUCAACACUCAUUGGUUGUGAUUAUCCAGGAUCUCCUGUAUAUCUCCACCAUGCUGGAUGGUCAGACAUCUUUUUAUGGGCCCCUGGUCACAUUGGGAUCCUUGGGAAUGAAUAUGCUUACUGGGUGGCUAAAUUGGCUACCAGGAUGCCAACUUUGGUGGUGGGGGUAGCAGAACCAGACCUUCGGUUGACUCCAUGCUGACAGUUGUUGGAAACUAGGAAUCAAUUGUCACAUCAUUGGUACAAAGUCAACUGCCAUAUCUUCCCUAACUUUAAGCCUUCUUCUUUUCUGUUAAAAUUAUUGUGAUGUUUAUAAAUCUCUAUGGCUUUUCUGUACGUACAUGCAUAAUAAUGCUAUGUCAUAACUAGCAUGCUUUUCUCACUAAAUUUUAAUUCAUGAUCACCAUCUUCAAAAACAUGUUCUGCUACAGCUGAUUUGUCAGUGAUUCCCAGAUGACAGUUUCGUUUUUGUUCGGUUAGGCGGAUAUUAACACUUCUUUUCAUUGUUCCAAUAUAAACCUCAGUAGGGGAUCCAGUAGUACUCACUAUUGGUCUCAGUGGGACAGCAGGCGUAUGCACCUUAGGUAGCCCAUAAAAUCUAGGAGGGUAAGCUGCUGCUUCUUCUUCUUCUUCUUCUUCUUCUUCUUCUUUUUUUUUCAAGGGUACUUUUUAUCAUCUGUAGGAAUGGAAGACUUUUUUAUUAAAUGAUUGGUAGCUGUUAACACUUUUGUUGUAGGACCCUUUUUCAACUUUUUGUAAGUGGUAGGCUCCAAAACAUCACUGAUCUUCGUAUGGUUGCCUUCACUCUUCAAGUGCUAUUGGAUCCACUCCUCAAGAGUUGGCUAGACAUCUCACCUUCUUUUUACAACUGUAUAUUGGAAAAACUAACCAUCAUAUUAAGAAGUCUAUGCACUUUAUUGAAAAAUUGAAGGAGAUUACUGUCAGCCCAAUUAAUGUUCUUGUCAAUUUUGAUUUGGUAUCCCUGUUCACCAUGGUUCUGAUUAACGAAGCUUUUUCUUACGUGGCUGAUAAGUUUCCCACUGGUAUGGUAUCUUUGUUUUGACAUUCCUAUCCAUGAUUAUUUUCAGUAUAAUUAUGAGUUCUGUGAGCAGAUUGAAGGAGUGACAAUGGAAAGCCCUCUAAGUCCACUUGCUAAUCUUUUUAUGGAAUUUUUUGAACAGCAGGCGCUGCAGUCAGCCAAUAAAAGUCCUCUGAAGUGGUAUUGAUGUUGUGGAUGAUGCUUUUGUGAUAUCACAAUGAAGAGGAAUUGAAUGGUUUCUUGGUGCAUUUAAAUAGUGUUAAUCCAAGAUACAAUUUGCUAGGGGGUCAGAGAGCAAUGGACAGCUUAAUUUUUGAAUGUUUCAGUAAUUAAAAGGGCAGAUUGGACCUUAGGUCAUAAAGUAUAUAGGAAAGAUACACAUACCGACCAUUACCUCCAUAACGAUUUGAACCAUCAUCCCAGGCAGAAGAGAGGUGUUAUUAAAACUUUGAUGGACAGGGCUAAUGAAAUCUGUGAGCCAGUUUAUUUGCAAGAGAAACUAGAUCAUUUGCAAACAGCUUGUAAGAAAAAUGGAUACACUGAUAAUGAGAUAGGCUGAGCACUCCAUCCCAGAAGAAGUGUGUCCAAAAACAUGCAACAACAACAACAACAGCACCCAUUGACUGGGAAAAUUUUUCUUCCAUUUAUCCACAAUAUCAUGGACCGUAUUGGGAAGGUUAUGGCCCAAGUUUUCCAAGUUGAAACAAUCUUUAGACACACCAAGAAGAUUUAUAAACACCACAAUAAUUUUAACAGAAAAGAAGAAGCCUUAAAGUUAGAUAAGAUAUGGCUGCCAACUUUGACUGUCAGAGAUAGUUUCACUGGUGACAGCAUGUGACAAGUGAUGGCACCCUCUAUGCACUCUACAUAAACGGGACCUCCACAGUCCAGGAGCCAGUUGUUGACUCACCUUGGAAGAUGUUGCCUGCAGCUAGCAAUGAAACAUCAGCAAGAAUUUCUACUGUUCGACCAUGGCCUCUUAGCCCAGAAGUUUUAACUAAUUAGGGAAUCUACUGUCCUGGCCACCUUUUGGUGAAACUUUAAAUAUAUUGAUGCAAUAAUGCUGGUGCUAGCAGUCAACACCAGAGCAGUUGGUUUGGUUUAAUUUUUUAUUUGUGAGUUUAGUUUUUUGUCCUCUCUGUGUCAUACAGCGCAUUAGCCUCAUUGGCUGCGUGAGGGAUUGGAGGGGUGCCCCCAUCACCUGCUCCGAACCGAGGGUCCCACGGCUGCCCUUGCUCAGUGGUCCAUCAUAGCUCAUGCCCUUUUCACCUUUUUAAGUCAUGUUAUUCUUUCACAUCUAUUGUUGGUUGACAGACUUUAAGUAAUUGUUCUCUUUCCUGAGAUUUUAUCUUGUCCAUGUAGCUAGUUUACUUGUGGUUAUAGAGGGUAUGGCAGCACCAUUCAGAUGCAGAGGACUUGUUUCUAGCUGCAUAAUGUGUCACUGGGUCUCCAGCUGCUUCCUAGGCAGGGCAACUCUUCCACCUUCACCCUUUUACCCCUCUCUCACUUCUACUUGUUUCUGACUCUUGAUUCUCAGAUACAGUUGAGCCCAUUGUGAUUUGUCUUUUGUGUCCUUCCUCUCUGAUUCCCAGAUUGUCACACAAAGGAUUAUGGGAGUGGUGACCUCAUGGUUUGGUUCCUUUAACCCCACCCACCCAUCCAUCCGUCCAUCCAUCCACCCAUCCAUCCAUCAACCUUAACACUAUUUGCUGUAAGUAGCAGCCUUAAAUUAAAGAUAUAGUGAAAUUAUAUGAAGUUAUGGUUGAGAUACCACAAAUGAAGAUCAUGUGAAUAUGAGUUCACAGUUCACUGGUACAUGACUGCUUGGUGAUGAAACAUGUUUCUUACACAUUACGUUGGCAGCAAGCAUGACAAACAUUCAUCAAGAUCUGCAUGUUGCUUCCUGUCAAGCUGGAUGUCUCGAGGGCCCAUAGUGUACCAGUAUCAUUUUAGCUCCUAUCGAUUCCAUCUUCAUAAUGUGUGCAGGAAGAAUGAUUUUUGUCUUCUUCUGUAUAAGUACAAAUUUUCUUGGUAUUACCGUCAUGGAUAUUAUCUGAAUUGUGUGUGGAAGAAGGUAGUUUGAAAAAUUCAAUUAUUUUGUGUUGUUUUCCAAAUAUCACAGAUUGUUGUUUCACCAGCAUUGUAAAUCAGUGCCAGAUUCUACUUAUCGGUGUUGCCUUCUUCAGGUUUGUGUAUUAUUUACAGUUUCUGCUGUAUCAUGAUAACAACACAUUUUUGCUUUUAAGACUGUGUGUAGCAAUAACAGAAACCAAAUGACUACAGUAUCCACUGCAACAGUACAGUCCAGCACUUGAGGUGUUUGAACAGCACGUUGUUUACUACACUCAUAUUGUAACAUGACAUUAUCCUUCCAGGGAGAAGAAAAAUUUUCAGCAUCCAGCAGCUAAAAAAAAGGAAGGAAGAAAGUUGGGAGAAAUAGGCCACAUAUAAUCCGCUCGCAGAUAAUAACAACCUUGCAGCCAUCUUCAGUGGGAGUCAAUGACAGAAUUACAACCACUUGGCGCAACUCUUUGGGAUAAAUGUGCCUACAUCAAAGAUAAGACUGUCAGUGUCAGUCAUAGACAAAACUUUGUGCUUCUAAGAAUGAAAUAUAGAAGAUGUCAAGUCAGUAAAUCCACAGUGCUAUUGAAUUAUGUGGUUAAUUAUUAAAAUGGAUUGCAUGUGUUAGAAUACCAUGAGGGGAAGACUCAGAAGAAUAAUUACUCUGAUUGCGCAAUUUCUGUUUUGCGCAAAGUAUGUUUAACGUGUGUGCAGUGCCCUCAGAAUGUGAAAGAAGAAGGGUCAGUCCCAAUAAAACAUGACAAGGUAUCAGUGUAGGACACCAUACAGAUGACCCUGCAACACCAAAUAAUGUAAAAUCAAGUUGUUCAAUAAACAAAACCCACUGAUGGUGGCACAGAGGUGCCAAAACAUUUUUGGGUAACAAGAAAAUACAGUGUUUUGCAUAAAAGGCGGAACCCAUAUCCAAUAAUUUUAACUGCGAACACAGAAAAAAAUACAAGAACUGCAAAAUCCAAAAUAUGAAUAAUUUUCUAUUGGUUAAUAUGAAUUUUUAAAUGUGAAAAUUUGAUUACUAUAUAUUAAUGGAUUGAGACUAAUUGCUGUUAAAGGAAUAAUCUUUCCUAAAAUGUAAUUUGUCUCAAUAAUCAAUAGGUACGUCUUGGACACACGUAGAGAAUUGAGACUUUGUUGCGAUUCUGAGAAGGGGUGAUUCUUGUUCAUCAGAAGUUUUUAAAUAUGGCUUGUCCAUCAUGUUUUUGUAUGGAAUUUAUUUUUGGAAAAGAAUUUGGGUACCUUUGCAGUCAGUGUCAACAAAAAUUAACGAGUGAAUAAGUAAUGCUGUAAUUUAUUAACUAUUUUUUCCAUUAACGGCUUAUAAAUUCUACAUAUGUUGGCACAGUUUUUCCUUUUAAUUUGUUUUCAUUUUUAUAAAUUUGAGGUGUAGUGAUGCUAAUUUUUAUUUUAUAGACUAUCAUUAUAAAAGAAAAUGUAGUAAUCUUGUUGAUGUUAUUAUAACACAAAUCUGGAUGCUAUUUACAAGAAUCAAUGUAUUAAAUGUGAUUGCAUAUAUCGUGAGAAACCACAUUGUAGAUAUAAGCUACAACCACAAUAAUUAUUGUUACAAUGUUGGAAUUUCUUUUGAGAUUUAAUUUUCAUUUCUGUUAUUUUAUAGGUGCUGCAGUUUCCAAAAUUAAUUUCUAAUUAAAUUCCUUAUUUAUCUCCUUUAUACAAAGCAUACAGGCAUCAUUAAGUAUAUUAGACCCAUAUACGCGCCAUUAUUCAGUCACAAAUGUAUUCACACUUGAGCGCAUUCCUGCGUUUCUAAAAUAUGUAUUCAAAUUAUUUGUAGUUAUCUGUGGAUCAAAAUGUUGGAGCUAUAAUGUCAGAUACUGAUUUUGUGUAAUGAUAAAUGCGUUUCACUUGGUCAUUUAGGCUGUAGUAACAGGAGAAACAGAAAAAUCUUGUUCCUAAGGGAAUGCAUUUACAUUUCAGAUUUCAGUAUAUUGUUGUUACUGUUGAAUAUAAAAUUUGAAAUAAGUGCCACUCAUGUGCAGCAUUUACACAGACUAUAUUAUAUGAGGCUUAUAGAGUGCUUAUGUAUCCAUUAUACAGUAGGAGAAUACCUCCAGGUGCUCUGUGAUGGUGUAAUACAGGAUAAUCAAUUUUGUAGGCCAGAUGCUAACUGUUCCACACAUACAAAGCUGGGCUGCUCCAGACAGCAAUUGGAAUCAGCAGUAUUCAUGCCCUAAUUGCUUCAAAGUAUAUCGCUGGAUGAUCUCAUUGCGCAGGCAUAUGAGAUUAGAAUGUGGAAAAGAGGGAAACCUUUGUUGCUCCAUCUGCAGUCGUCGCUUCAAGCAUAAGCAUCACCUUGUUAAUCACUUAGGUGUUCACAGACGCAGGGAUUACAUGGCCAGUGGAAGCAGUUAACUGGUCUGAAAAUUGUGUGGAGGGCUCUGAUGAAAGAAUUGGUUUAGAGGCAAGAUUUGUGUGCAAUAACUGUGGAAAAUAUUAUCACCUGAAUACUUCUCUCCAACGCCAUCUGCGUGUAGAAUGUGGACAAGAAGGAAGACAUGCAUGUUUCUCAUGUGGUCGCAAAUUUAAGCAUAGGUUUACUCUCGCAACACAUGUAAGAAGAAACAUCUGUGACAGAUUCAGGAACUUACAGUGAAAUAAGAGCAAUUUUGACUGUAAAAGGAUUUUACAGUGUGAUUGCAAGCAUUUCAAUAAAUCAAUAUCGCAUAUGAGGCAUUUUGUUGAGUCAGUUUGUGUGUUAUUUUCCUAGUUAAGCACAUCAUUUUACUUACCAUUUAUUGAGAGCAAAGUCUGCUGUACAUAUAUAAAUUAAACAUUAUUCUUCAGAAAGUGUUAAUUAUUAAUCACUGUUUAAUUGUAAGUGAUGAACUCCUGUGAUUUUGGAUAAAUUAAUUUGGAAGAGAAGUGUGAUAUUGUUGAACACACAAGAAAAUGUGAGAAUAACCCGAAAUCUUCUGAUAUUCAACCAUCGCACUUCAAUAACAGCUGUUCUUUCUUUUAUGAAUGUCAUACAAGUUGACACAACAGUAGAAUGCUAAACAUGAUGACAUGAUUACAAACCAGACAUUCUUGUUUGUAUGUUUCUUUAAUAUGUUGUUGAUUACUUACCACCAAGGAUAUCAUUGCAUCAUCUGUAGCAAUGGCCAGUCGCAAUGAAUGUGCACUCAUUCACACUUUCUAUUGCAGAGCUUCCAUCAAAAAACUUAACAAUUCAAAUGUAUAAAAUCAGAGAGGUGUAGCUAGGAUCAGCUGCUUUUUCUGACAACAUUAAUAGCAAACUAUCACUAUUGAUCUGAAUCUGAUUGUUACAUGGUAAAGGUACUUAUUAUGAUACAGUAUUUGCCAUCGAUAUGAGCAUAAGUAAAUGUCUUUCAGAGUCAGUGGGAAGGCUACAACUUCUAGGAAUACUAUUCUGCUGUUAUUCGAUCAAAACUAUGAACUAAUAAGUAGAUAUACUCAUUGCUGUCAAAAGAUGACAGGUAAUAUGUAGCAUAUUCAUUGAAGCUUAUUAUCAUCAACCUCCACUGGUGUG